GAUGAACGCUGGCGGUGUGCUUAACACAUGCAAGUCGAACGGCAACGCCCUGCUUUCGUGGGGUGAUCGAGUGGCGAACGGGUGCGUAUCACGUGUGUAACGUACUCUUGUUUUUCGGAUAAGUUAAGGAAACUGGAGUUACUCCCGUACAGCAGACCCCGUUCCAUGGAGGGGGUUGGAACGUCUCGGCGGUAGGGGUUGGACUAGCGGCUUAACAGCUAGUUGGUGGGGUAGUGGCUUACCCAACCUUUGGCUGAUCAGCGGCCUGUGAGGGUGACCGGCCACAUUGCGACUGAGAUACGGCCCAGUGUCCAACAGUAGACAGCAGUGGGAAAUCUUGCACAAUGGGCGGAAGCCUGAUACGGCAGCGCCGCGUGCGUAAUGACAGCUUUCUGGUAGAAAACCGCUUUCGCCUGAGACGAAGCGGGUGUGACGGUAAUGAAUGAAGAAGCACCGGCUAACUACGUG
Molecule: ribosomal RNA, 468 nt
Filed under: uncultured bacterium
Lineage: Bacteria
Description: partial 16S ribosomal RNA
Rfam family: Bacterial small subunit ribosomal RNA
Source: RNAcentral